Molecule: non-coding RNA, 84 nt
Organism: Blastosporella zonata
Lineage: Eukaryota; Fungi; Basidiomycota; Agaricomycetes; Agaricales; Lyophyllaceae
Source: the annotation of a GenBank genome assembly
UCGGGUAUGGUGUAACGGCUAACAUUGCCGCCUCUCACCUGGAGGGCAUCGCGGCAGCUCGGGGUUCGAUUCCCCGUACCCGAA